GGGAGAGGCAACUUCCUCUGGUCUUCUGGAGGUGCAUCCUACUCGUCCAGUAGGAUAUAUUGCCGGGUUGUGAUAUGUCCAGGCCUCUCCCCAGCUGUCUUCCUUCCCAGCCCUCCCGGCUUGGCUUUCUUGCUUCCCCAGGAGUUCAAAUCUCCAAUCCGCGGAAGAAUUCAGCUGCUUGAAAGGACUUCAGGCAGUGUGAGGAGGACAUCUCCCUUCUCCGCCAGUAAAGAGAGCUGGUCAAAGACUGAGGCUGCUGACGAUGACGUGGAGAGGAUUUCAAACAACCUUAACACGCUUUGAACUGGCAGGGUGCGGUGAUAUCUGCCUCACUCUGGCGCAGCUCCUUCAGAACACUUGCUAGGACAAUGGCUGAGCAAGCACUUGGUACUGGCCUCUCUGCCUGGGGCGAGGACUGCCCAACCCCCAGAGACCCUAAAGCAGGAGUUGCCUGCGCCACAAUGGAGAAGUCUCUGUCUUAGGCUGCACCUCAGGUUCUCUCAGAUCUUCUGGAAGGGCGUUAUUCAGCGGCACUGUGGUUGCACUGCCCCAGCAGCUGCUUGAUGGAGACCUCUCCUCCCCACAUCUGAAUGGAACGCCUUUGCUCAGAGUCUACAGAACGUCAAAACUGAGGCUCCAACCUCAGAGCUACAGCUUUAAGGACCACUCCACACAAAGAGGCAGCUGGUUGCUUUAAUGAAAACUGCCUUUAAGCUUCAAGAACUGAAGCCUUGGGGAAUAAAUUUAUAAGGAGCCUAGAAAAAAACGCAUUUCCAAGUUGUAUGUUCUUGGGAGAUACAAAAUAAAAUUUACCUGAAAAAUUAAUUUU
Molecule: long non-coding RNA, 829 nt
Filed under: Mus pahari (shrew mouse)
Lineage: Eukaryota; Metazoa; Chordata; Mammalia; Rodentia; Muridae
Description: lncRNA (MGP_PahariEiJ_G0005270.1)
Source: RNAcentral